GAUGAACGCUGGCGGCGUGCCUAAUACAUGCAAGUCGAGCGAACGGACGAGAAGCUUGCUUCUCUGAUGUUAGCGGCGGACGGGUGAGUAACACGUGGAUAACCUACCUAUAAGACUGGGAUAACUUCGGGAAACCGGAGCUAAUACCGGAUAAUAUUUUGAACCGCAUGGUUCAAAAGUGAAAGACGGUCUUGCUGUCACUUAUAGAUGGAUCCGCGCUGCAUUAGCUAGUUGGUAAGGUAACGGCUUACCAAGGCAACGAUGCAUAGCCGACCUGAGGGGGUGGCCGGCCCCCCUGGAACUGGGACACGGCCCAGACUCCUACGGGAGGCAGCAGUAGGGAAUCUUCCGCAAUGGGGGAAAGCCUGACGGAGCACGGCCGGGUGAGUGAUGAAGGUCUUCGGUUCGUAAAACUCUGUUAUUAGGGAAGAACAUAUGUGUAAUUAACUGUGCACAUCUUGACGGUACCUAAUCAGAAAGCCACGGCUAACUACGUG
RNAcentral lists this ribosomal RNA (497 nucleotides) under uncultured bacterium. RNAcentral's name for it is "partial 16S ribosomal RNA". It matches the Rfam family "Bacterial small subunit ribosomal RNA", at positions 28 to 507 of the family's 1533-position model. The record is from RNAcentral.